Molecule: long non-coding RNA, 247 nt
Organism: Sapajus apella (tufted capuchin)
Lineage: Eukaryota; Metazoa; Chordata; Mammalia; Primates; Cebidae
Exons: 3
Source: RefSeq, a predicted model, not a curated record
CCUGGUGAUCCAUGCCUUUUUGUUAGCAUAAUAAUGGACUGGUAAGAAAUUCACUCCUUAAAAACAUCAGUUUACAUGUAUACAUGCCUGCUGCAUUAGCACAUCUCAGCUCAGUUGUUCUGUGCUUGGCAUCCUUAAUUCCUAUAGCGAUUGUCUCUUCAAGUGUAAUUAAUAUCUUUUUGGGGCAAUAACACCAAAAUAUUGAUGCUUCAUUAGCAUUAUAGACUUAUUCUGUCUUCAGAAUUUC